RNAcentral lists this ribosomal RNA (253 nucleotides) under uncultured bacterium. RNAcentral's name for it is "partial 16S ribosomal RNA". It matches the Rfam family "Bacterial small subunit ribosomal RNA", at positions 524 to 776 of the family's 1533-position model. The record is from RNAcentral.
UACGUAGGGUGCGAGCGUUAAUCGGAAUUACUGGGCGUAAAGCGUGCGCAGGCGGUUUUGUAAGACAGAUGUGAAAUCCCCGGGCUUAACCUGGGAACUGCAUUUGUGACUGCAAGACUAGAGUGCGGCAGAGGGGGGUAGAAUUCCACGUGGAGCGGUGAAAUGCGUAGAGAUCGGAAAGAACACCAACGGCGAAGGCACUCUGCUGGGCCGACACUGACACUGAGAGACGAAAGCUAGGGGAGCGAACAGG